This 253-nucleotide ribosomal RNA is filed under the name uncultured bacterium. RNAcentral describes it as "partial 16S ribosomal RNA". It matches the Rfam family "Bacterial small subunit ribosomal RNA", at positions 524 to 776 of the family's 1533-position model. The record is from RNAcentral.
UACAGAGACUGCAAGCGUUAUUCGGAUUCACUGGGCGUAAAGGGUGCGCAGGCGGCCAAGUGUGUUAGGCGUGAAAGCCCGGGGCUUAACCCCGGAAUUGCACCUAAAACUACAUGGCUAGAGCAUUGGAGAGGGUAGCGGAAUUCACGGUGUAGCAGUGAAAUGCGUAGAUAUCGUGAGGAACACCAGAGGCGAAGGCGGCUACCUGGACAAUUGCUGACGCUCAGGCACGAAAGCGUGGGGAGCAAACAGG